UGGAGCUGGUGGGAUUUGAACCCACGACCUCUUCGCUGCCAGCGAAGCGCGCUUCCCCUGCGCCACAGCCCC
Molecule: transfer RNA, 72 nt
Filed under: Candidatus Hakubella thermalkaliphila
Lineage: Bacteria; Bacillati; Actinomycetota; Candidatus Hakubellales; Candidatus Hakubellaceae
Description: Candidatus Hakubanella thermoalkaliphilus tRNA-Ala
Source: RNAcentral